This 18414-nucleotide long non-coding RNA is filed under the name Homo sapiens (human). RNAcentral's name for it is "long non-coding RNA NONHSAT162227.1". The stretch from base 14182 to 14329 matches the Rfam family "Metazoan signal recognition particle RNA". Lineage: Eukaryota; Metazoa; Chordata; Mammalia; Primates; Hominidae. The record is from RNAcentral.
CAAAAGUGCUGGGAUUAGAGCUCCAGCCUGUGCUCACAGCCCCAGCCUGUGCUCAGCCUCAUAAAUACUUUUGAGUCACUGUGCCCAGCCUCAUACAUACUUUUGAGUAAAUGGAUGAAUGGUGUUGUCAAAGUCAAAUAUUAUGAAGUAUUUGAAAUCACUUCAAAAAAUUAUAAAGGAGAAACAUGUAAAGCAUUGUUUCUUCUCAACUAGAUUGUAAGUUUCUUCAUUUUAGGAACUGAGUCUUAUACUCUUUAUUUCCCAUCAAUCUAGCAUUUCCACCUAGUAGGUACUCUGUAAAUAAUUAUGCGUAUCACUACAGUGUUUAAAAGAACAUGAUAAUACUUGCAACAAACAACCUGAAAAUGAAUUUAAGAAAAAAAAUCCCAUUUAUAAUACCAUCAAAAAUAAUAAAAUCCUUAGAGAUGAAUUUAACAAAGAAGCACAAAACUUAUACUCUGAAAAGUACAAAACACUGUUGAAAGAAGUUAGAGAAGACCUAAAUAAAUGUAAAAACAUCCCAUGUUCUUGGCAAUAUUUUCCAAGUUGAUCAAAAGAUUAAACACAAUCACUGUCAAAUCCCAACUGGCUUCUUUGCAGAAAUUGACAAACAGAUCCCAGGAUUUAUAUAGAAAUCCAAGGGACCCAAAAUACCCAAAACAAUCUUGAAAAAGAGGAGCAAGAUUGAAGAACUCACAUUCCUUAUUUUAAAACUUACUACAAAGCUACUGUAAUCAAGACAGCAUGGUAGUGGCAUAAGGAUAGACAUAUGGCUAUCCAGUGGAAUAGAGUUAAAAGUCCAAGAAUAAACUCUCACAUUUUCAGUCGGUUGCUUUUUGACAUAAGUGCCAAGACAAUUCAGUGGGGAAAAAUAGUCUUUUCAAGUAGUGCUAGGACAACCGCAUAGCCACAUGCAAAAGAAUUAAAUUGGAUUUCUAUUUCACACUACAUACAAAAAUUAACUCAAAAUGAGUCAAAGACCUAAAUCCAAGAGUUAAUUAAAACUAUAAAACUCUUAGAAGGAAACAUAGGUGUAAGUCUUUGUGACCUUGGAUAAUGCAAUGAUUCCUUAGAUAAAGGCACAAUUUAAAAAAUAGAUCGAGUGGACCUCAUCAAAAUUAAAAACUUUUGCUUCAAAUCACACCAUUGAGGAAGUGAGAAGACAACUCACAGAGUGGAAGAAAAUGUUUGCAAUUCAUAUAUCUGAUAAGAGACUUGUAUCUAGAAUAUAUAAAAAACUCUAACUCAAAAGGAUAAAGACAAGUAGCCCAAUUUAAAAAUGGACUAAGGGGCCGGGCGCGGUGGCUCACGUCUGUAAUCCCAGCACUUCGGGGUCCAAGGAGGGCAGAUCACGAGGUCAGGAGAUCGAGAUCAUCCUGGCUAACACGGUGAAACUCCGUCUCUACUAAAAAUUAGCUGGGCGCGGUGGCGGGCGCCUGUAGUCCCAGCUACUUGGGAGGCUGAGGCAAGAGAAUGGCAUAAACCCAGGCGGCGGAGCUUGCAGUGAGCCGAUAUCUCGCCACUGCACUCCAGCCUGGGUGACAGAGCGAGACUCCAUCUUAGAAAAAAAAAAAAAAAGAUCUGAAUAGAAAUUUCUUCAAAGAAGAUAUACAAAUGGCCAGUAAGCACAUUAAAAUGUUUCCUACAUAUUCCUAACAUUAUUAGCUAUCAAGAAAAUACAAAUCAAAACGACUAUGUGAUACCACUAGGAUGGUUACAACAAUAAUAAAUACAAGGUAAUAAUAAGUGUUGGUGAGGAUGUGGAAAAAUUGGAAUCCUCAUACAUUGCUGGUGGGAAUAUAAAAUGAUGCGGCCACCUUGGAAAACAGCAUUUCCUCAAAAUGUUAAACCUAGAGUUACCACAUGACCCAGUAGUUCCACUUCUAGGUAUAUACCUAAGAGAAAUGAAAACAUGUAUCUACAUAAAAACUUGUAUAUGAAUGUUCAUGGCAGCAUUGUUCAUAGUAGCAGAAAACCCAAAUGUCCAUCAAUUGAUAAUGGAUAAAUAAAAUGUGGGACAUCCAUAUAAUGGAAUAUUAUUUGGCAAUAAAAAAGUAAUGAAAUAUUGAUAUAUGCUAUGACAUGGAAGAACCUUGAAAACAUUAUGCCAACUGAAAGUAGCUGGUCAUAAAAGAAUACAUAUUGUAUAAUUUCAUUUAUAUGAAUUAUUCAGUGUAUAGGUAUACUCUAUAUUUGGAGUAGAGGUAUUCAGGGUACAGGUAAAGGUAUAGGUACAUGCUAUAGUCAGGGUAUAAGUUCAGGGUAUAGGUAAAGCUAUAGAGACAGUAGAUUAGUGGUUGCCUAAAGCUAGGGAUAUUGUGGGGAAUAGGGAGUGACUGCUAAUAGAUACAGGUUUUCUCUUUGGGGUGUGGAAAUAUAUAUACAUAUACAUAUAUAUGUACACAUAUACAUAUAUAUACACACAUAUACAUAUAUACACACAUAUACAUAUAUAUAUACAUAUACAUAUAUAUAUAUAUAUAUACACACAUAUACAUAAUAUAUAUAUUUUUGAGAUGGAGUCUAGUUCUGUUGCCCAGGCUGGAGUGUAGUGGCAUGAUCUCAGCUCACUGCAACUUCCGCCUCCCGGGUUCAAGUGAUUCUCCUGACUCAGCCUUCCAAGUAGCUGGGAUUACAGGAGCCUGCUACCACGCCCAGCUAAUUUUUGUAUUUUUAGUAGAGAUGGGGUUUCACCAUGUUGGUCAGGCUGGUCGGUCUCGAACUCCUGACCUCAUAAUCUGCCUGCCUUGGCCUCCCAAAGCGCUGGGAUUACAGGUGUGAGCCACUGCAACCAGCCUAUUUCUUCAUUUUUCUAUCAGCUCAGUGCUUUGGAGCAUAGAAUGAAAGUUGUAGGCAGAUUAUUCUUUUCUUUUCUUUUUUUGAGAUGGGGUCUCACUCUGUGGCCCAGGUUGGAGUGCAGUGGCACGAUCUCAGCUCACUGCAACCUCUGCCUUCUGGGUUCAAGCGAUUCUCCUGCUUCAGCCUCCCUGAGUACCUGGGAUUACAGGCGUGUGCCAUCAUGCCCAGCUAAUUUUUGUAUUUUUAGUAGAGACUGGGUUUUGCCAUGUUGCCCAGGCUGGUCUCAAACUUCUGAGCUCAAGUGAUCUGCCCGCUUCAGCUUCCCAAAGUGCUGGGAUUUCAGGUGUGAGCCCGUGUGCCCGGCCAGUAGGGUGGAUCUUAAAGGAGAAACAAGAGGUGGAACAAGGACGAAAGGGAAUUCAAUUUGCUGAGUUUUUUGGGGAAAGCUGAGAAGCGUGUUCACUUUCCUAGCCAAUGUAAUUAGGUAAGUUUAAUGUCAAGACUCCAAAUGUGACUGUUUUUUAUUGAGAUUUCUAGUUUUGGUUGUGGUGUUUGAAACUUAAUUGACCCAGCCACCUUCUUUGGGUCCAGAGACACUUAAAAUGUGAAACAUUGACCUUUUGUCCUUAGUGUCCUUCAUCUUUCUGAAGAUCUGGAUAAUUGGUGGGUGUGGAAGAAAGCCAGGGAGAACCUUGUGUCUGUCUUGAGAAUGAAAGGGUGACAGGAAACCAGGGAGUGACUCAGGGAGACUGGAGUCUAGAAACACAAUGCUCUGAAGACUUCCCUGGGUAUAUAAUGGGAAGGAACUUGGAGGUCUUGAUGACUGCUUGGACUCCUACUUUGCUGCAGUUUCUAUUCUAAUCUCUAUUUUUGUCCUUUCUCCAGGAUCCAAACUUCAGUGACCUGAGUACCUGUCACACCUAUUUGUUCUGAAUAGCCCCUUUGAACAGAGCCUUUCUUGACAGAGAAAAGGAGUAUUGGUAGGUGUGGGAGGCAGGGAGAUCUAGCAAAAAAGAAAAAAAAAGAAUUAUUAAUAGCUGUAGUCAUUGGGAAACUCAGCCUGAUGGGGAAAACAAUAAUCAGAUUUAAGAACUAAGAAUCAACAAAUAUAAAGACUUUCUUCAUUAGAACAAAAGCUUCCUUGAUAAAAAAAAAAAACGUUGAGCUAGAUUUUAAAGGACCUUUAGAAUGCAUAUUGUGGCAAAGGAGAAGAAACUCCACCCAAGGCAGCCAGCAUAAGCAUGGUGGAGGAAGCAUUUUCUCCCAUAAUGUUGGGCCUCAGCCACAGGAAUAAGCGCUGCCCAGAGCUAGUUAGCUGUGACCCUGUUCCUGCAUAUCCUGAGUGAUUUGAUGUGACUAGCUGAAGUCCAGUUAAGGGUCAAUUGAGGGAGCAAGUGAGGGGAUACUAUGAAGUAACAGUUUGGCUUGGGUCUUGACUGGAGAAUUCAGUGCGUUUGAGGUUGCCUCUAAGAGGAGUAGAAAUAAGAGCAUUAGGAGCCCUUGCUGCCGUUUGGGUUACCUACACCAAAACAGAUUUGUGUUCUGCUCUCUGGCCAGCCCUAUUCUCUGCUCUUCUUAUCCCAACUUGCCUAAUUGAUACCUUGGCCGAUGGUGUCAUUAACAAUGCUUGAAUAAUAGCCUGACUGGCUGAUUUCAAAAUGAGAGACAUGAUUAAUAUGUCGGAAAUCCAGCUGGGGGGAGCAGGAAAGGGGAUGUCCCAAGAAAAAGAAAAUGGGGGAGGGGUCCUUCACUCCCUUACUGCCAGUCCACUGUCUUCAGCAGAAGGGAAGAACUUGGGGAUAGGAGUCUGACUUCAGCUCCUUCUUGGUUUGCUGAUCCCUCUCCAUUUCUCUCCCCUACCUCCCCCAACAGCACACGUUCUGACACCUACAAGCUCGUUACAUGAUGAUGACCUAUAUUUUUAUCUUUUUUAUGAGCAUCAAACACACAUUGUCUUGCAAGCACAUGUGUUUUUUUCCCCUGUUGACGUGUGAGUGCCUUUGAUGGUAAUUUAUUGUAGGGUUGAACAGCCAGGUCUUAAUUGUACCCUGAAAUUGCUUACCAUUUUGAUGCCUCCAAACCAUCCCAAAAUGUACCUUUUUCCUACAGAAGGGUAUGGGGCAAUCUCUUUUUUACUGUGUUAUAUGGUGGAAUGUGAAGCUUAGAGAGAACAUGAGGGAAAGAUUCCCUAGCUGGGUUUCAGGGACGCCUUGGUCCCCAGCUUCUAAUUGCAGUUGGGCUGUCUGAAAGUUCUGCUCUACUCAACAAAAUUUAGACUCAGUUUUUCCCUCAUGGUAUAGGGUCAACAUGACUUCACUGGUUGCUUAGAAUGGUCAACGGGCAGUUUCUACUCCAGCAUUCAGACUUUUGGGGAAAUUUCCAUUGUGGCCACUUGUAUCUGUGACUGUAGACGGGAUUAGAAAUGAGAAUGUGGGCAUUAACCUAGGGAGCCUGGGCUAUGAGAGGCAGCAUAUCAGGCCUUCUGCAGUAUCCUGUAAUAACCUCUACCUCCACAUCUGACCACUUCCUCCCUUGGCUUAGGUAGAAUUCAACAUUCCUGUGUGCAGGGGAAUAUAGGAAUACCAGAGAACACAAAAGCCCAACAGAACUUAGUGGUUUGGUUUUGUUUGGUUUUUGAGACAGGGUCUCACUCUGUCACCCAGGGCAGAGUGCAGUGGUGCAGUCUCAGCUCACUGAAGUCUCGCCCUCCCGGGCUCAAGCGAUCUUCCCACCUCAGCCUCCUGAGUAGCUGGGACUAUAGGCGUGUGCCGCCAUACCUGGCUAAUUGUUUUUUUGGCGGAGACAGAGUCUCACUAUGUUGCCCAGGCUGGUCUUGAAUUCCUGGGUUCAAGCAAUCCUCCCACCUCGGCCUCUCAAGGUGCUGGGAUUACAGUUGUGAGCCACCACACCUGGCCAGAGCUUAGUUUUUAAUUAUAAUUUGAGUUUGGGCCUAAUAGUCUCCUUUGCUGUGGCCUCACUUUGUCCCUCAGUACAAUAGACAGCAUCAUACCCUAGGACACUCACAUUCAUUACAGAAGGAUGAGUCAGUGUUCCAGAACAACUAGAAAUGUAACCCAUGUCUCAUGAAAAUAUAAGGAGAAAAGAAAGACUGAAAUUCCUAUCAUUCCCUCUGGAGAGGCCAGGGGUAGUAUCCAAUGUUAACCCAGGCUGCUGUGCUGGAAACCGGUCUACCUGCAGACUGGAUCCGUGUUAGUUCUUGCUACAGACUCUCCAUUCCAGCUGAGUUCAUUCUUCUGUCUCUCACACAUGAUGCUCAUUGCAUGUGCUUGUUCAUACUUGCCUCCAAACAUGUAUACAGGCCAGUUUCCUCCUCUCCUACUCCAGGUACUGUUUCUCCAUCCUCCCUGUCCAACUUUGUCCAUUUUCUUUGUAGAUACCCAGUCCUACCUGAGCUCACUUCCACCAGAAAACUUUCUUAAUUGGCCUUCCCUGGCUCCAAGGACUGUACUAUUCUAUAGUUCCUCAACAUUGUAUUAUUUGCACUUAUUUCUGUGAUCUACUGUCUGCCUGUGUCCAUGGAGGGAUGUUGUGUAUCUGUCUCAAUGAGCCUCCUGACUGAGAGCAGAGCUAUUACUACUGUCACCUUCUUCAGUGGAUUAAAAUCUCUUCUGUUAAAGGCCUCUCUCUUCUGAGAGACUUUACACUCUUCCUUGGUGUCCGUGGCAGUGGAGUUGUAUAGGAGCAAAUGAGCUUGAGAAAGACAGCAGCUUCCAUGAUGGAGUCCAUGUGAAAUCUCAUUUUCCUAUAAUAACUAGGACAUUAUUGAUUCUCAAACUUCAGAAAAUGAGUUGGUUAUCUGGAAAUUUCAAAGAAAUAUGGUGCAUCUCUUAAUUACCUGGUUUUCCAAUAUACAGAUAAUAAAAUUAGAAUUCUGUUGCUUGAUCUUCAGAGCCCUCCACGGCGACAAUAAUAUUGGGAUCAACAUUCUUUUACAUAACCUAGACUGCAAUCUCAUGGGUCUACUUGAGUUUCUUCAACUUGUUCUAUGCCUCCAGACCUUUGCAUGUGCUAUUCUUUCUGUCUGGAAUGCCAUCCUUUCCUCAUCAACUUGCCAAGAUCUGAUCCUUCAUUUAAAGCCUAGCUUAAAAUCUUCUCCAAGAUUACGUCCCAGAUCGCUCUAGCGAGAAUUAUUUCUGACCCUCCUGCAACUAUAGUGUCACAUUGUUUGAGUCUCUAUUAUACUACUAGAAUAAUAUUUACAUAUGUAUUUAUCUCUUUUACUAUUUUGUAGGUUAUGAGAAGGUGGAAAUUGUAUAUAUUUUUUUCUCUUCUUUUUUUCCUCCUUAUUCUCUGCCAUCUUGUAUCAAUUUGAAACUAACUCCCCCAAGAUUGUUUAUGUUUUAACUGUAUAUCCCUUUAUAUUCCUGGGCUUAACAUAAUGCCUUGCAUAGGAGAUGCUCAAGAAAUAUAAAUUAAUUUGGAUAAUAGAGCCAGGUUUUUUUUUCUUGUUUUCAACUUUUAUUUUAGAUUUCAGGGCUACACAUGCAGGUUUGUUACAAAGGUAUAUUAUGUGAUGCUGUGGUUUGGAGUACAAUUGAACCCUUCACCCAGGAAGUGAGCAUAAUACCCAGUAGGGAGUUUUUCAGUUCUUAACCCCCUCCCACCUGUAAAGAGAGUUUACACUCUUCCUUGUUCUCCCAUUUUUAUGUCCAUGGCAGCAGAGUUGUAUAGCUUUAUCAAGCUCAUCUUCAUUCCUCAGUACUCCCAUCAACUACUCACUCUCCCACCAUUUCAGUUCUCCUGACUUUCAACAAAGCCUUUUCAUGCUAAGAUAAACCUUCCAUAGUUACCCUGUGUCAUUUCUGAUGGUCUGCACGGCUGUUCUGUUCUGUCCUAUUCUUGUGUGCUCAAUCCUGUAGCUUCGUUCUUGCCAAGCUCUGGUCUAUUAUCUCCUCUUCCUCCUCUGGAAAGUCUACUUUAACUAGCUUCCAUAAAUGUCCUUACCCCUCAUUCUCCCAGCAUUGAUAGCGAAGAUGGUACUCCAGCAUUAAUUCUCUGUUUAUCUGUAUCUUGUUUUCCAUUGUAUGGGAAACUUCCCCAUACUGAUAUUCCUUUUCCUGUUAACCAGAGUUCAUAUUCAUCCCCAUAGCUUCCAGUUCCUCUAGUCAGAGAAAUCAUUGACUGGCUUUCUCUUGCUUGGAAAGUCAACCAACUUUAGCAAGUGACAAUAAAGAGAGAUUUAGAACCUACUGACCCUCUCAAUCCCUUCCUUGCCCUCUCAGGCCCCCCUUUCAACCUUUCCUUCCUUCCACAAAUGCUGGCUGAGCCUGCGUUAUGUGCUAGGCGCUGCUAUAGGUUACCAUGCUUCUCCCCUGUAUAAAGCUUAUACUCGAUGCUCCUUCUGAAUGGGAGUUUAGAUAUUGGUCUGAUACUAGAAACACUUAAUCAAAUGCUCCCAAACAAUGUCAUAAGUGUGAAUUCUGAUGGAGUACAGAAUUAGGAUAUCUCUUCUCUGUAAGCCAUUCUCUCCAUUCUUGAAAUUGCUAUUCAUCUUUGGCCCAUCUCUCAGAACUUGAUACAGAAUAGUUUUUGUGUCUCAUUCUGUGAUGAGCAGUUAGUCCAUCUCAAAAAUAAUUUUAGCGUUUACUGAAGAACCCCAAGGAGAGGAGUGGGGAAACUAGAUAGUCUAAUCUCCCACUGUCCCAUAGAAACACAUACAUGUGAACUCACCUGCAGGCUUAUGUAAUUACAUGUUGUUGAAACUAAAUGGCUAAGUUAAACUGGAGUAAAGAAGUAAUCUCAAUUAGUUGCAGUUAUAAGGGAAGACUCUGCAAGAAAAGGAUUUGAGCUGGGUUUUGAUGGGAGAUUGUGGGAAGCAGUCUGUGAAGACAACACUCUAGGUGAUGAGAGACAUUCAUUGUUCAGUCUGAGGCUUAAAUGUGAGAAGAGUCAGGCUAUGGGGGUUAGUGAAAGUGUUAUCUUGGCUGAAGCAUAGCUCUAAGUUGGAAAAUUCCAAAGAAAUGGGUUUAGUGAGAAAUUAGGAUGAAAUUGCUAGAGGACCUAAAUGACCAACCUAGGAUGUGUCUUCCUAGCUGAAGGCAGGGCCAUAAAUAGAAUAAUUUCAGGAGGGCUAAAAUGUUUAUUCUUCCCCUUAGCUUUUGAGAACAAGAGACUAAGGUUUCUGGGACUCUGACUUUAUAUGACUAAGGUGCUCCUCUCACAUGAAGUAAAGCAUAAAGACCAAGUAUAAUGUAAACCUAAUGUCUAGAUUUUUCUAUAAUAUUGUUUAAAUUUCAGUUGUAAUUAUCUGUCCAAAUGGACUCCACACUUUGUUUUGCCUCGUUCUAUUCUGGAAUCAUAUGAUGGCCUGCAGAAUUUAACUUAACCAGCCACAUGCUCCUUGCCUCAUUCAGCCUACCCAUUUUUUCUGUAUGAAAAGGUUUCACAGUAAAGCAAAGAAACUUUUACACCUGGCAUCUAUCCCUUGACCUUUAACUUUCUGGAGUCACCUUACUUGAAGGAAGGAAAUACCACCUAGAAACUGCCCCUGGAUUUUUCCCAGCCUGUUGCACAGAGGUCUUCCAAACCUGGGUUAUGCUAACUGAUGGCAGAGGAGAAGAGUCCCAGCCCUAGCUUCCCAAAUUUUUGUGAUAUUUUCACCUUGAACCUCUGCUGGAAUUUUCUCUGAAGCAGAAAGAAGAGGUGGUCACUUUUCAAAUUGUUUAUGCUUUUAUACUUUUCAGAUUAUGAGGGGGAAAUAUUAUAAUGUGUCUACCUCUUCCCCUUGGCAUAUUUAGAUUUAAAAGACAAAAUAUCAAGAAAGGAAUUAAUUUUGUAGAGAAAUAAUAAAUAGAAUUAGCAAAGAAGAACUUUCCAACAGCAUGGUUUACUGAAGGAAACUGGGCAGUCCCUCUAUCUGAGGAUCUAGAAGAAUAGGGUCAAUUAGCAUUUGUCUGCAGAUUUUGAAGGCAGUGAAAUGAAUGAGAAGACUCUCCAAAGCUCUGUCUGCAGGCCAGACUCAGUGAUAUCAGAACGGGACAUAGAGAGAGGAAGCAAGGGUGACUCAAACCCAUCUUUUAAGGCCUCUCUUCCCUAUGGUUGCGUGCACCUCUGGUUUCUAAAAAAAUUUUUUUUUGCCUCGUUUGCUUCAGAGAUGGGUGGCUUUGAGGAAGUGAAGAUAAAAUUUAUUCAACCUAGAUGUGUAAAUAGAAUUUUGUGACCAAUUUUGAUAUGACUUUUAUAUCUAGACUUAUAGCCAGGGGUGAAUUUUCAUACUGGCAUAGGGUCAACUCCUUAUUCCUGAUUUGUGCACUAUCCACUUUGUGGAUUUUUGCAGACUCCAUACUUCCACUGCCUUGGGUUUGACAGAAACACUGAGUCAGAGCAAGCAUCAGGGAUAGACUCAAAGGGUGUGUUUGUAUGUAUGUGUAUGAGUGUAGGUAUCCAAAGAUAAAGCAAUGAGGAUUUAUUUCACUUCUCUUUUCUCUUUGUAACACUAAUUACAUUUGUGAAACUGUUUAAUGGUGGCCUCUACUACUAGACAGUAAGCUACAUACAAGGCUUGUGCACCAUUGAAUACUUAGCACUUAGCAUAGGACUUGGCACAUGGCAGACACUCAGCAAAUGACAAAAUCAUGUGGCCUCUGCUCUCAUCCACUGACUCAGAUAAUGAGAAGUGUCUCCUCCUCAGGGGCCAGGGGGAUGCUCUGCUAUGGCAAGUGGAGGAAUCAGAGAUGAUCCAUGGAGCCUGUGAUAUGACCUCCCCAGUGAGGCUGUCAGCCCUAGGGUAGAUUCCUUGUUGACUAUCCUCUUCUUAUCACUGGUAGCAUCUUAUCACAAUACUUGGGGCACGGGCCAGGGAGUUACCCAGGGCUGAGGAUGGGAGGAGGUAAGUCCUGGCUAUCAGGAUAGACAUCUUAUUCCAGCAGCAGUUGUCCUAGAUGUGGCCUGUUUCCCAGCCCACUGACCUUUAGGGCACAGUGGGGGGUUGGGAGCAUGAGUCAGAGAGGAAUGUGGGACUGGUUGCUUGGGAGUUUCACUCUCUGGGGAGAAGCUGGUUCCCCAUGCCUAUCAGUUUUCUAAUGGCAUCUCUAGAGGCAGAGCCUAGAAACAAUUACUUGAAGGAGUCGGACGAAGCACCCACACUCUUUUGAACCCCUAGGAUGUUGGCAGGAAGAUAAUUUAAAUAGAUUUUAACAGGCACAGGACAGAAAAGUAUUGUAGAGUAUUUCAAUAGAAAUCUGAGGCUGGGUACAAUGGCUCAUGCAUGUAAUCCCAGCACUUUGGGAGGCCAAAGCGGGAGGAUCACUUUAGCCCAGGAGUUCAAGACCAGCCAGAGCAGUAUAGUAGGACCCCGUAUCUACUAAAAACAAAAAGCCAGAUGUGGGAGCACGUGCCUGUAGUCCCAGCUAUUCAGGAGACUGAGGUGAGAGGAUUGCUUGAGCCCAGGACGUUGAAGCUGCAGUGAGCCCUGUUCAUGCCUCUGCACUCCAGCCUGGGUGACAGAGCGAGACCCUGUCUCAACAAAACAAAACAAAACACACGCACACACACACGCUCAAAAAAAAAGAAAAAAAAGAAAAAGAAAGGAAAAUUUAAGAUAUCCUCUUAUCCAUACUUCUGCCUCCAUCCCAGAUAAAUACAAAAUCUCUCUUUGAAGAUUUUCUAAAGUGAGGGGAUUCCACUGUUAGGUAACCAUGGUAACCACUACACCACAGCACACUUAUGAGAACAUUCUACUGUUAAAUCUAGCUGAAUGUAGCCUGCAACAUGGAAGCCAUGACCAGGACAGUGGAAGUGCAGUGUGAAUUAUCCAAGCAAUCAUUUCCUCAUUCCUUGGGUGGGAGUGGGCAGACACGCCCAGGAGUCCCUCACCCUGCCUCCCACGAUGCUCUGCUUCUUCAUACAGUGCACACAGUGGUGGGAGAUGGCAGCAGGGGCAGAGAGGCCCUCAUUCUGGAGAGGGGACCUAUGAAUCUUGUAAAUAUGAUGACAUCAGCAAUGACAGACUCUUCAGCCGCCUGGUAGUCUGUCAUUGAAGCCAGGAAUUCAGCACACGCUCAGACACACCCAGCCUUCACCAUGGGUUCCCAGAAGCAAGUUCUCGCAUAGCCACUAGGCUGGGAGGACCCUCACUUAACCAACCCUCCCUGACAAGCUCCAAGGCCUCAGAGUCGAAUCCUAAAUUUCCAACUUAGCAAUAAUUUUUUUUAAAUUGCAUGAUGCUGAGGCUUGGGGUAUGGAUGAUCCCGUCACCCAGGUAAUGAGCAUAGUACCCAGUAGAUAGUUUUUCAUUCCUUGCCCCUCUCCCUCCUUCCCCUCUCCAGUAGUCCCCAGUGUCUGUUGUUGCCAUCUUUAUGUCCAUGUGCGCUCAAUGUUUAGCUCUCACUUAUAAGUGAAAAGAUGCGGUAUUUCGUUUUCUAUUCCUGUGUUAGUUCACUUAGGAUAAUGGCCUCCAGCUACAUCCAUGUUGCUGCAAAGGACGUGAUUUCAUUCUUUUUUAUGGCUGCAUCCAACUUAGCAAUAAUUUUUAUCCCUCUCUGUUUUCAUUCUCAACAGUGCCUAAGUUGUUCAUGCUGGUUGUUCUCAGGUGUUUUAACCUCCCCAGUGAGUGAGAUCCAAGAUUCAUGGCAUUAUCAUGGGAAAUUCUUUCAUUUUGGUUUAACUGAAAUUUGUUUUUGUUAUUAUCAUCAGAGUCUAAAACUGAUCAAGCCAGAAAACUUCUACACUGCUCUGAAGUCCCAGACAAAUAGGCUGGAGAUUUUUCCUGCUGUUCUCCACCUCUCUCCAUAAUGAGAUGCUUUGUUUCCAUGAAUUGGCCCUGAUCCAGACUUCUAGACUCUAUGACAGGACAUUUCAUCCCUCCCUCUGCCUCCAGGCAGGACUGAACUUAACUCAUGCCAGGCUGAAGGGUGUCUCCUUCAGACCUUGUUUCAAGAUUUCCUGACUCUUUGGCCUCUUUCAGGUAAAAGCGCACAGCUGAUUGCCCCAAUGCCUAAUCUUAAUUUCCUAAUGGCAAUUCUAGCUCAUUUCUUUUCAUUGUGGAAAGGAAGAUCCACAUCUCCCUUAUACCUUUCCAGCUAAAAUUAUCUCAGUUCUUUUAUAAUGCUUCUCAGAUAUUAAUUUGAUCCCAUAUCUUCUUUGUGCUAGAGGAGGAAAAUUAGUGUUAGAUGAAAUGCGCUCCAUUAUCUGAGUAUUGUUGGCCUGAGCUAGUAUUCCAUAUUUUUAUCACUUUUGUUAUUGUGCUCCUCACCAACAUAUCUCAUUCUUUCUUUGCAUGGAGACUUCAAAUAUCAGUUUUAUCUACCUGGAAUGCCUUUCCCUCUCUCAUCAGUCUUGACCUUCCAUUACUUCCAAAUCCUGUUCCAUUCUCCCUCUCUAGACGACGUUUCCUAACUCUGCAUUUUCUGUGUAUUCCUGAUUCUUCUGAAUCCUACUAGUGGCAAUGUAAAGAACUUCAUUCAGCUGGCCUUAAGAUCUGCCCUUGCCUCACUCUCUCCGAGUAUGAAGCAUGGAUAAGAAGAGUUCUGAGAGCUUGCAGGGAACCAGUAGCACAGCGUAGUGGGAUGUAUAUAGCAAGUCAAGAACUUGGGAGUUCUAGUGUGGGUCUAUAACCCUGUGCACCUCAUAACCUCUCUGGCCUUUCCACUUAAUUAUGUAUGGACAAGGAAGCAUUGAAUUAGGCCAUCUCGAAGAAUUCUUUAACUUUAUAAAUGUUGUGAAUUUGUGCUUUCCUCUCUUUCUUGGUCUCUUUCAAUAUCAUGGACAGAACUCUACAAGCAGAGAAAUCACAGAAUAGGAGAAUAUGAACUAAAAGGCAUAGUCGAUAGGGAAAAACUUCAUUUUAAUAUGGAGGUAGUGCUGGUCAUAAUAAUUGGAAAUUUGUAGUGAGAAUGGGGGCAGGCUGCUGCACCUCCUUAACCUCUUGCAAUCUUUUUUUUUUUUUUUUUUUUUUAGACGGAGUCUCGCUCUGUCACCCAGGCUAGAGUGCAGUGGUGCGAUCUCUGCUCACUGCAAGCUCCGCCUCCCGGGUUCACGCCAUUCUCCUGCCUCAGCCUCCCCAGUAGCUGGGACUAUAGGUGCCCGCCACCACGCCUGGCUAAUUUUUUGUAUUUUUCAUAGAGACAGGGUUUCACCGUGUUAGCCAGGAUGGUCUCGAUCUCCUGACCUCAUGAUCUGCCUGCCUCGGCCUCCCAAAGUGCUGGGAUUACAGGUGUGAGCCACUGUGCCUGGCCUCCUCUUGCAAUCUUACAAACAUUGCUGUGAUGUGUUUUAAAGAGUAAGGAGGCUGGGCACAGUGGCUCAUGCCUGUGAUCCCAGCAAUUUGGGAGGCCAAGGUGGGCUGAUCACCUGAAGUCAGGAGUUUGAGAACAGCCUGGCCAACUUGGCAAAACCUCAUCUCUACUAAAAGUACAAAAGUUAGCUGGGCAUAGUGGCACAUGCCUGUAGUCCCAGCUACUUGGGAGGCUGAGACAGAAGAAUUGCUUGAACCCAGGAGGCGGAGGUUGCAGUGAGCCAAGAUUGUGCCACUGAACUCCAGCCUGGGCAACAGAGCCAGACUCUGUCUCAAAAGAGAAAAAAAAGGUAAGGAAAUGGAAGUGGCUCUGGCCUAAUUUCUACCUCCUCAGCACAGUGGCCAUCAGGCAUAUCCUAGCAAUAUGCUUGUACUAAUGUAAAAAGCUUGCUCCACCCUCAUUCAAGUCACUGAAGGAAGAUCCUACAUUAAGUUGUUACUCAUUUCUUUCUUGGGAAAUUCCCAAGUCCUAUAUGAGUAGAGAAGAACAUUUCUAUCUGGAGUCCAAAAGUCUUCAUUUUCUAAAUAGAACUUAAGUUUGUUCUAUGAUAUGUUGGUCAUUAUGCUUCAUAACAAUCCCUGAAAAUAAAGACUGUAAAAGAAGUAAUUUAUAAGGUUAUGUGGUCUUGUGUGCGUGUGUGUGUGUGUGUGUGUGUGUGUGUGUUUGAGAUAGAGAGAGACAGAAAUUCAUGUGAUUUUCACUGUGGACUAGAGGAGUCUUAGAGAAAUGUCAUACUGACCAUGCCACUUACUCUAAGCAGGGAUAGAUUCACAUGUUAUUUAUUUUGAAUCACAUUAUCUUAAGCAUCUGGACAACUUAGAUUUUAUUCAAAGCUGAAGAGCUAGAGGAGAGAGGGGAGGGAAAGUAAGUAUAGGGUAUUUAUUAAAUACCUACUGUAUGUUAGGUAUUGUGAAAGACUUUAUAUAUCAUAUAUACUCAACAUAAGGUGAGAUUUUAUCUUCCCAAGCUACUUUCUCAGAAAAGAGGAAGUUAUUUUAUAUUUGAAUCCUUACAAAGUCUUACAUUAUAGGGUACUUUCUCAAUUGCUUUUUAAGGAAGACACAUUAGUCUGUAAAAGCAAAAAGCAAACAACCUCUUCACCCCCAAACAAACAAAAAAUAACCAGUGAGGGUUUGGAUUACCUAUAGAGGCCAUUUGAUGGGAUUUCUUUUUUAAGUGGACUUCAGUUUCUGGGAAUGUGAAAGGCUUGGGCUGGGUUAUUUGAAUCAACGUUCCUGCUGAAAAUAGCUUUAAAAUGCUGGAUAAAAUAGUUAAGACAUCUUAAAAGCAUGAAAGAGCCAACAAAAUAGUAGGGAAAUAUCAGGUCAAAAUCUAGUUGAAAGUGAAAACUCAAAGUGAUAAGUGAAACAAAAAGGCUACUUUUAACCAGAAGGUAUUUGCUGAUAGAAGCAAACUUGCACUCUGGUUUUGAUGGCUGGUCUGAGAACUUCAAACUCAUGGCUGGCCCGAAGUUAUGAAUCUAAUAGGAGACUGACCCCAUAUAAAACUGAAAAAUCAAAGAGUUAUACCCUUAGUGUAAGGUGAAAUAGAAGUAAACCUAGGCUGGGCAUGGUGGGUCAUGCCUGUAAUCCCAGCAUUUUGGGAGACCAAGGUAGGAGGAUUUCUUGAGCCAAGGAGUUCAAGACCAGCCUGGGCAACAUAGGAAGACCCAGUCUCUACAACUAACAAAAUCAGCUGGGUGUGGUGGCACACACUUAUGGUUCCAGGUACUUGGGAGGCUGAGGCUACAGUGAGCCAUGAUUGUGCCACUGCACUCCAGCCUGGGUGACAGGAUGAGACCCUGUCUCCAAGAAAAAAAAAAGUAAACCUACCCCCUCUGCCACAUCUCCAAGGGACUAUAAGAAAGUUUCCUUGGUGCUGAGCAGAGCAGAAGGAAAAAGUCCAAGCCAGCCUGAUUUGCAGCCCAAAUUUAUAUCACCUAGGUAGUAAAAGAAAACCUCAAACCUUGAAUUUAAUUUUAAAUGAUUCCAGAUUAGUAUUUCCUUUGGGGACCUAGCAAAAGCAAAGGCAAAUCCUCCCUCAAUGAAGACCUCUUCAUCCUAAGCCUCAAAAAUCUCCACAAGUAAUUCUUCAAAGGCAGUGAGCAAAUAAGCACAUAGGGAGAGAAGGCACCGUGAGUAAGAAUCAGCAAAAACAACAGACAGCAGAAACAGAUGCACAAAGCCUCCAGAGAUUGAAACUACCUGUUAGGCACAUGUUAAAAAACAAGCCUGAAAAUAUUUCCGGGAAUGUAAAAAGUGAUCUAAUGGAUUUAAAGCAGAACCAAGUAGAAUGAUUCUAACAGCAAAUUGGACCCAAUUGAAGAGAUAAUUAGUAAAUUAGGAGACAGAUCAAAAGAAAUCCAGAAUGAAGCACAAUGUGGUGAAAGUAUGAAAAUAUCAAACAGAGUUGAGAUAUAUGGAAAAUAGAGGGAGAAGACCCGUAUCAACCAAUAAUUAAGGCUCCAAAAUUAAACAAGACAAAGAAUAGAACAGAGGCAAUGUUUGAAGAAAUAAUGACAGGAUUUUCUUAAACUGAUUAAAGUCACUCAGAAGCCCAGUGAAUUCCAAGCAAGAUAAAUAAAUAAAAAAAAUAAAUCCAACCCUAACAUAUGAAACUACAGAACAUGAAAUAUGAAGAGAAAAAUAAGGAGAUAAGAAAAAAGAUAAAAAUAAGAAAAAUAAGGAGAUAAGAAACUUCUGCUUCUGGUCACAAAGAAGUAACUGACAUGAAACUUGUCCUUCCAUCCUAAACAAGUGCUAUAUACAUGAAAAUAUAUAUAUAUAUAUAUUUACUGAAUGGGUUUAAUAACAGAUUUGACACUACAGAAGAAAAGAUAAAUGCGCUUGAAGACAUAGAAAGAAACCAUACAAACGGAGGCAUAGAUAGAAAAAAUACUGAAAAACAAAAAGAAGGCAUUAAUGACUGCAGGGACAAUAUCAAGUAGUUUAACAUUUAUGUAAUAGGAUUAAGAAAAUUUUGAUGGAAUAAUGGAUAGCUUCCCCUCAAUUUAAUAAAAACUAUAAACCUAUAAAUUUAAGAAGCUCAGUGACCCUAGGCUGGCUAAACAUAAAGACAACUACACCAAGGCACAUCAUAAUCAAAUUGCUGAAAAAUUUUAAAGUAGCUAGGGAAGAUAUAUUAAAUAUAAGGGAACAAAGAUAAGAAUUAUUAGACAUGGUUUGUCAGCAUCAAUGUAAGCCAGGAGACAUUGGAAGAACAUUUUUUUUUUCACCUAGCAAAUUAGCAAUUUUUAUUUCUUUGUUUCGUUUUAUUUUAUUUUAUUAUUAUUAUACUUUAAGUUUUAGGGUACAUGUGCACAACGUGCAGGUUUGUUACAUAUGUAUACAUGUGCCAUGUUGGUGUGCUGCAUCCAUUAACUCGUCAUUUACAUUAGGUAUAUCUCCUAAUGCUAUCCCUCCCCUGCUCCCCCCACCCCACAACAGGCCCCGGUGUGUGAUGUUCCCCUUCCCGUGUCCAUGUGUUCUCAUUGUUCAAUUCCCACCUAUGAGUGAGAACAUGCGGUGUUUGGUUCUUUGUCCUUGCAAUAGUUUGCUGAGAAUGAUGGUUUCCAGUUUCAUCCAUGUCCCUACAAAGGACAUGAACUCAUCAUUUUUAUGGCUGCAUAGUAUUCCAUGGUGUAUAUGUGCCACAUUUUCUUAAUCCAGUCUAUCGUUGUUGGACAUUUAAGUUGAUUCCAAGUCUUUGCUAUUGUGAAUAGUGCCGCAAUAAACAUACGUGUGCAUGUGUCUUUACAGCAGCAUGAUUUAUAAUCCUUUGGGUAUAUACCCAGUAAUGGGAUGGCUGGGUCAAAUGGUAUUUCUAGUUCUAGAUCCCUGAGGAAUCGCCACACUGUCUUCCACAAUGGUUGAACUAGUUUACAGUCUGGAAGAACAUUUUUAAAGUACUGAAUGAAAAAUAUGUGCCAACCUGAAAUUCUAUGUCCAGUUAAAAUGUUUUUCAAAGUAAAGGUUAAUAAAGACUUGUUUCCACACAAACAGAAUCCGAAUGAAUACUGAGUGCUAAAGGAAGAUUUUUAGGUUGAAUGAAAAGGAUAUUGAAUAGAAACUUGGACUUAUAAGAGUUUCAGAAAUGGUAAGUAUAUGGGUAAAUAUUAAGACUUUUUCUUGUUUUUAAAUUUUCUUUAAAAGUUAACAGGCUAUUUACGAGGUGGGCAGAUCACUUUGAGCCCAGGAGUUCGAGACCAGCCUGGGCAACAUGGCAAAACCCUGUUUCUGCAAAAAAUACAAAAAUUAGCCAGACAUGGUGGCACAUGCCUAUAUUCCCAGCUACUCAGGAGGCUGAGGUGGGAGAAUUGCUUGAACCUGGGAGGUGGAGGUUGCAAUGAGCUGAGAUGAUG